GUUUUAUUCCUAGGUGAGGUCAGGUGGACCAUGUUUUAGUGGCCUUCAGCUGUUAUCUGCUCUAUUGUCGGGUUGUUGUCUCUUUGACAUAUUUCCCAUUUUCAUUCUCAAUUUUACUUAUUGAUAUGAAACCUACCAAUAAUUCAAUAGACCAAACACUGUCUUACCUAUAAAUAAUGAUUAAGAAUUUCACAUGACAAACAAAAAAA
RNAcentral lists this long non-coding RNA (209 nucleotides) under Mytilus galloprovincialis (Mediterranean mussel). Lineage: Eukaryota; Metazoa; Mollusca; Bivalvia; Mytilida; Mytilidae. The record is from RNAcentral.